CCCCCGCCCCCGCCCCCCAGAGCGCCGGCCCCGGGAACGCCCUCGGAGAGCGCUCCGGCCCCUGCAGCCGCCGCGCGCAGAGCGCCGCUGAGCCGCGGCGGGGAGCAUGCGGGACUACGACGAGGUGACCGCCUUCCUGGGCGAGUGGGGGCUCUUCCAGCGCCUCAUCUUCUUCCUGCUCAGCGCCAGCAUCAUCCCCAACGGCUUCAACGGCAUGUCCGUCGUGUUCCUGGCGGGGACCCCCGAGCACCGCUGCCGGGUGCCCGACUCCGCCAACCUGAGCAGCGCCUGGCGCAACCACAGUGCCCCGCUCCGGCUGCAGGACGGCCGCCCGGUGCCGCACAGCUGCCGGCGCUACCGGCUCGAGGCCAUGGCCAACUUCUCGGCGCUCGGGCUGGAGCCGGGGCGCGACGUGGACCUGGAGACGCUGCAGCAGGAGGGCUGCCUGGACGGCUGGGAGUUCAGCCAGGACGUCUACCUGUCCACCAUCGUCACCGAGUGGAACCUGGUGUGUGAUGACGACUGGAAGACGCCGCUCACCUCCUCCCUGUUCUUCGUGGGCGUGCUCAUUGGCUCCUUCUUCUCCGGACAGCUGUCCGACAGGUUUGGCAGGAAGAGAGUCCUCUUUGCCACCAUGGCUGUGCAGACCAGCUUCAGCUUCCUGCAGAUUUUCUCCAUCAACUGGGAGAUGUUCACCGUGCUGUUUGUCAUUGUCGGCAUGGGCCAGAUCUCCAACUACGUGGUCGCCUUCAUACUAGGCACAGAAAUUCUUGGCAAGUCAGUUCGUAUUAUAUUCUCCACAUUAGGAGUGUGCACAUUUUUUGCAGUCGGCUACAUGCUGCUGCCACUGUUUGCUUACUUCAUCAGAGACUGGCGGAUGCUGCUGCUGGCGCUGACCGUGCCGGGGCUGCUGUGCGUCCCGCUGUGGUGGUUUAUUCCUGAAUCUCCACGGUGGCUGAUAUCCCAGAGAAGGUUUAACGAGGCUGAAGCUAUCAUCCAAAAAGCUGCAAAAAUGAACAAGGUAGCGGUCCCGGCGGUGAUUUUUGACCCUGUGGAGCUACAGGAGCUAAAACCCCUGAAGCAGGAGAAAAUUUACAUUCUGGACCUGUUCAGGAAAAGAAAUAUUGCCACAAUAACCACUAUGUCUAUACUGCUAUGGAUGCUAACCUCUGUCGGUUACUUCGCUCUGUCUCUCGACUCUCCUAAUUUACAUGGAGAUGCCUACCUGAACUGUUUCCUCUCUGCCCUGAUUGAAGUUCCAGCUUACAUCACAUCCUGGCUGCUCCUGCGAACCCUGCCCAGACGGUAUAUCAUCGCUGGAGUGCUGUUCUUGGGAGGAGGCGUGCUUCUCUUAAUUCAACUGGUACCUGCAGGUCUCUUCUCCAGAUUACAACUUCUUGUCCAUCGGCAUGGUGAUGUUAGGGAAAUUCGGGGUCACCUCUGCCUUCUCCAUGCUGUACGUCUUCACCGCAGAGCUCUAUCCCACGCUGGUCAGAAACAUGGCUGUGGGCGUCACCUCCAUGGCCUCCAGAGUGGGCAGCAUCAUCGCUCCCUACUUCGUGUACCUCGGUGCUUACAACAGAGCUCUGCCCUACAUCCUCAUGGGCAGCCUGACCAUCCUGAUCGGAAUCAUCACCCUGUUUUUCCCUGAAAGUUUUGGAAUGGCUCUACCGGAGUCCUUAGAGGACAUGCAGAAAGUUAAAUGCACGUAUCUUAUUUUCAGGUUCAGGUCUGGGGAAAAAGCAAGAGACUCAAUGAACAACGAAGAAAACCCCAAAGUUCUAAUAACUUCAUUCUGAUAAAAUGUCUACCCCUCUCGGUGAACUGAAAAACAGAGAUGUAAGACCCUGAAGAAACCAAAGCUUUUCCUGAUGAAAUGGACUGACUAUAACCAAACGGACCCUGCUGUUGAGAAAUGCUUGUCAUCUAGCAAAAUCUGGUCCACUCUUCCACACAAUCUCCU
Pipistrellus kuhlii (Kuhl's pipistrelle) is the source of this 1963-nucleotide RNA transcript. It is a transcript of the gene named solute carrier family 22 member 4, with no coding region annotated. NCBI's taxonomy places the organism in Eukaryota, Metazoa, Chordata, Mammalia, Chiroptera, Vespertilionidae. The record is from RefSeq and is a predicted model, not a curated record. The transcript has 10 exons.